GCAGUCGAGCGGACGGAUGGGAGCUUGCUCCCUGAAGUCAGCGGCGGACGGGUGAGUAACACGUGGGCAACCUGCCUGUAAGACUGGGAUAACUUCGGGAAACCGGAGCUAAUACCGGAUAAUGCAUUUCCCCUCAUGGGGAUAUGCUGAAAGAUGGUUUCGGCUAUCACUUACAGAUGGGCCCGCGGCGCAUUAGCUAGUUGGUGAGGUAACGGCUCACCAAGGCAACGAUGCGUAGCCGACCUGAGAGGGUGAUCGGCCACACUGGGACUGAGACACGGCCCAGACUCCUACGGGAGGCAGCAGUAGGGAAUCUUCCGCAAUGGACGAAAGUCUGACGGAGCAACGCCGCGUGAGUGAUGAAGGUUUUCGGAUCGUAAAACUCUGUUGUCAGGGAAGAACAAGUGCCGGAGUAACUGCCGGCACCUUGACGGUACCUGACCAGAAAGCCACGGCUAACUACGUGCCAGCAGCCGCGGUAAUACGUAGGUGGCAAGCGUUGUCCGGAAUUAUUGGGCGUAAAGCGCGCGCAGGCGGUCUCUUAAGUCUGAUGUGAAAGCCCACGGCUCAACCGUGGAGGGUCAUUGGAAA
This 591-nucleotide ribosomal RNA is filed under the name Bacillus sp. CH376a_12D. RNAcentral describes it as "bacterial SSU rRNA". It matches the Rfam family "Bacterial small subunit ribosomal RNA", at positions 57 to 632 of the family's 1533-position model. RNAcentral also lists the same sequence under 1 other name. The record is from RNAcentral. Lineage: Bacteria; Bacillati; Bacillota; Bacilli; Caryophanales; Bacillaceae.